AUUGAACGCUGGCGGCAGGCCUAACACAUGCAAGUCGAGCGGAUGAAGGGAGCUUGCUCCUGGAUUCAGCGGCGGACGGGUGAGUAAUGCCUAGGAAUCUGCCUGGUAGUGGGGGAUAACGUCCGGAAACGGGCGUUAAUACCGCAUACGUCCUGAGGGAGAAAGUGGGGGAUCUUCGGACCUCACGCUAUCAGAUGAGCCUAGGUCGGAUUAGCUAGUUGGUGGGGUAAAGGCCUACCAAGGCGACGAUCCGUAACUGGUCUGAGAGGAUGAUCAGUCACACUGGAACUGAGACACGGUCCAGACUCCUACGGGAGGCAGCAGUGGGGAAUAUUGGACAAUGGGCGAAAGCCUGAUCCAGCCAUGCCGCGUGUGUGAAGAAGGUCUUCGGGUUGUAAAGCACUUUAAGUUGGGAGGAAGGGCAGUAAGUUAAUACCUUGCUGUUUUGACGUUACCAACAGAAUAAGCACCGGCUAACUUCGUG
This 484-nucleotide ribosomal RNA is filed under the name uncultured bacterium. Its description in RNAcentral is "partial 16S ribosomal RNA". It matches the Rfam family "Bacterial small subunit ribosomal RNA", at positions 30 to 507 of the family's 1533-position model. The record is from RNAcentral.